UGGGGAAUAUUGGACAAUGGGCGAAAGCCUGAUCCAGCAAUGCCGCGUGAGUGAUGAAGGCCCUCGGGUCGUAAAGCUCUUUUACCCGGGAUGAUAAUGACAGUACCGGGAGAAUAAGCUCCGGCUAACUCCGUGCCAGCAGCCGCGGUAAUACGGAGGGAGCUAGCGUUGUUCGGAAUUACUGGGCGUAAAGCGCACGUAGGCGGCUACACAAGUCAGAGGUGAAAGCCCGGGGCUCAACCCCGGAACUGCCUUUGAAACUAGGUGGCUAGAAUCUUGGAGAGGCGAGUGGAAUUCCGAGUGUAGAGGUGAAAUUCGUAGAUAUUCGGAAGAACACCAGUGGCGAAGGCGACUCGCUGGACAAGUAUUGACGCUGAGGUGCGAAAGCGUGGGGAGCAAACAGG
This 404-nucleotide ribosomal RNA is filed under the name uncultured bacterium. Its description in RNAcentral is "bacterial SSU rRNA". It matches the Rfam family "Bacterial small subunit ribosomal RNA", at positions 355 to 776 of the family's 1533-position model. The record is from RNAcentral.